UGCGAGUCAUUGUAGCAAUACAAGGCAGACGGCUCAGUAACGCGUAGUCAAUCUACCCUAUGGACGGGAAUAACCUCGGGAAACUGAGAAUAAUGCCCGACAGAACAUUAUACCUGGAACGGUUUAUGUUUCAAAUGAUUUAUCGCCGUAGGAUGGGACUGCGGCCUAUCAGUUUGUUGGUGAGGUAAUGGCCCACCAAGACUAUUACAGGUACGGGCUCUGAGAGGAGUAGCCCGGAGAUGGGUACUGAGACACGGACCCAGGCCCUAUGGGGCGCAGCAGGCGAGAAAACUUUGCAAUGUGCGAAAGCACGACAAGGUUAAUCCGAGUGGUUUCUGCUAAAGAAACCUUUUGCUAGUCCUAGAAACACUAGUGAAUAAGGGGUGGGCAAGUUCUGGUGUCAGCCGCCGCGGUAAAACCAGCACCUCAAGUGAUCAGGAUGAUUAUUGGGCCUAAAGCAUCCGUAGCUCGUUUUGUAAGUUUUCGGUUAAAUCCAUACGCUUAACGUAUGGGCUGCCGGGAAUACUGCAUAACUAGGAAGUGGGAGAGGUGGACGGUACUCGGUAGGAAGGGGUAAAAUCCUUUGAUCUAUUGAUGACCACCUGUGGCGAAGGCGGUCUACCAGAACACGUUCGACGGUGAGGGAUGAAAGCUGGGGGAGCAAACCGGAUUAGAUACCCGGGUAGUCCCAGCUGUAAACUAUGCAAACUCAGUGAUGCAUUGGCUUGUGGCCAAUGCAGUGCUGCAGGGAAGCCGUUAAGUUUGCCGCCUGGGAAGUACGUACGCAAGUAUGAAACUUAAAGGAAUUGGCGGGGGAGCACCACAAGGGGUGAAGCCUGCGGU
RNAcentral lists this ribosomal RNA (843 nucleotides) under uncultured archaeon. RNAcentral describes it as "bacterial SSU rRNA". It matches the Rfam family "Archaeal small subunit ribosomal RNA", at positions 52 to 901 of the family's 1478-position model. The record is from RNAcentral.